UAAGGAAUAUUGCGCAAUGGACGAAAGUCUGACGCAGCGACGCCGCGUGGGGGAUGAAGGUCUUCGGAUUGUAAACCCCCUUCGGGAGGGAAGAUGGAGUGGGUAACCACUUGGACGGUACCUCCAGAAGCAGCCACGGCUAACUUCGUGCCAGCAGCCGCGGUAAUACGAAGGUGGCAAGCGUUGUUCGGGUUUACUGGGCGUACAGGGAGCGUAGGCGGUUGGGUAAGCCCUUCGUGAAAUCUCCGGGCCUAACCCGGAAAGUGCGGAGGGGACUGCUCGGCUAGAGGAUGGGAGAGGAGCGCGGAAUUCCCGGUGUAGCGGUGAAAUGCGUAGAGAUCGGGAGGAAGGCCGGUGGCGAAGGCGGCGCUCUGGAACAUUUCUGACGCUGAGGCUCGAAAGCGUGGGGAGCAAACA
RNAcentral lists this ribosomal RNA (417 nucleotides) under uncultured prokaryote. RNAcentral's name for it is "bacterial SSU rRNA". It matches the Rfam family "Bacterial small subunit ribosomal RNA", at positions 355 to 774 of the family's 1533-position model. The record is from RNAcentral.